RNAcentral lists this transfer RNA (60 nucleotides) under Rattus norvegicus (Norway rat). It matches the Rfam family "tRNA". Rfam says of the family: Transfer RNA (tRNA) molecules are approximately 80 nucleotides in length. Lineage: Eukaryota; Metazoa; Chordata; Mammalia; Rodentia; Muridae. The record is from Rfam by way of RNAcentral.
GGGGAUUUAGCUCAGUGGUAGAGCGCUUGCGCAAGGCCCUGGGUUCGAUCCCCAGCUCCG